Molecule: ribosomal RNA, 490 nt
Filed under: uncultured bacterium
Lineage: Bacteria
Description: partial 16S ribosomal RNA
Rfam family: Bacterial small subunit ribosomal RNA
Source: RNAcentral
AUUGAACGCUGGCGGCAGGCCUAACACAUGCAAGUCGAACGGUAACAGGAAGAAGCUUGCUUCUUUGCUGACGAGUGGCGGACGGGUGAGUAAUGUCUGGGAAACUGCCUGAUGGAGGGGGAUAACUACUGGAAACGGUAGCUAAUACCGCAUAACGUCGCAAGACCAAAGAGGGGGACCUUCGGGCCUCUUGCCAUCGGAUGUGCCCAGAUGGGAGUAGCUAGUAGGUGGGGUAACGUCUCACCUAGGCGACGAUCCCUAGCUGGUCUGAGAGGAUGACAAGCGACCCGGGAGGGGGAACAGGGUCCAGGCGACUGAGAGACGCCCCAGAGGCGUAUGGGGGGCAACAGGGGGAAGGAUGGUGCAAUGAUGCGGAGUGUGAGGAGAAGGCGCUCGGGGUGUAAAGUACUUUCUGGGGGGGGAAAGGGCGUAAGGUUGAUACCAUGGCUGAUUGACGUUAACGGGUAAAGAAGCACCGGCUAACUACGUG